Molecule: ribosomal RNA, 500 nt
Filed under: uncultured bacterium
Lineage: Bacteria
Description: partial 16S ribosomal RNA
Rfam family: Bacterial small subunit ribosomal RNA
Source: RNAcentral
AUUGAACGCUGGCGGCAGGCUUAACACAUGCAAGUCGAGCGGGGGAAGGUAGCUUGCUACUGGACCUAGCGGCGGACGGGUGUGUAAUGCUUAGGAAUCUGCCUAUUAGUGGGGGACAACAUCUCGAAAGGGAUGCUAAUACCGCAUACGUCCUACGGGAGAAAUCAGGGGAUCUUCGGACCUUGCGCUAAUAGAUGAGCCGAAGUCGGAUUAGCUAGUUGGUGGGGUAAAGGCCUACCAAGGCGACGAUCUGUAGCGGGUCUGAGAGGAUGAUCCGCCACACUGGGACUGAGACACGGCCCAGACUCCUACGGGAGGCAGCAGUGGGGAAUAUUGGACAAUGGGGGGAACCCUGAUCCAGCCAUGCCGCGUGUGUGAAGAAGGCCUUAUGGUUGUAAAGCACUUUAAGCGAGGAGGAGGCUACUCUAGUUAAUACCUAGGGAUAGUGGACGUUACUCGCAGAAUAAGCACCGGCUAACUCUGUGCCAGCCGCCGCAGAA